Long non-coding RNA from Xiphophorus hellerii (green swordtail), 1973 nucleotides. RefSeq lists it as uncharacterized. NCBI's taxonomy places the organism in Eukaryota, Metazoa, Chordata, Actinopteri, Cyprinodontiformes, Poeciliidae. The transcript is spliced from 2 exons. The record is from RefSeq and is a predicted model, not a curated record.
ACAUGGGAAGUUUCACAAUUUUUAAUCCAAGAUGCAAAGAAUUGAAGUAAUCCUGCAAAGCUGUAGCAAGGCACAGAUUACAUGGAAGACAUCUUUCCAACAAGAUGGAUUUUAUUUUUGGCCUCAGGUGAAGAAUGCUGGAUUUUACUUAUUCACUGAUCUGCCCAUGCAGUCUUAUGUCCAAAGAAAUUAAAAUCACAUACACACAGAAGAGCUUAAUUUCUUAGAAAUGUGUUUAUGAUGUUCAGGGUUUGUCGUGUUUUUAAUUUUGCCCAAUAUAAACCUCCUAGAACAUUAGGACAUAAAUUUGACUGAAGGUUUGAUUUUGUUUUUCACCACAGUGUGCUGUAAACAGAAUGAUUUAUGAUGUUUUGCACUUUUAGCUAACAAAAAAUAUGAUCAGCUGAACUGAUGACUAAAUAAUAUUACAAUGCUUAGCAGUCUCUUUCCACAAAACUCCAUCUUCAGGCUCCUGUAAAUUAAAUAGUCCUGCCUCCCGUCUGUAACCUUUUUUCUAUACUAAGUCUCUGCUCAGAUCAUUUCUGAGUAGGGACUCAGCAUGUUGAUACAUUGCAGUGGAAAUGUAUCAAUAUGCAGGUCGAUUCUGUACGCGAUUUUGUCGGUUUAUAUUGUAAAAGCGGCCCAUAGAACCGAUCAGAACUGAAACAAUCCUACCCUGUUUCAGUUGUAGUCCGUACGACUACAGUACAGCUAAGGCGGCGCUGCAGAACACACUUUAUUGAACGAGGGACAGAAAAUGUCACUACUUGCGACAAAGAGGAGACUUGCUGUCUUAGUACACUUGAAAUCGCUUUAAUAGAACGCCAUGUGAGGCGUUUGGGUUGAACCCUGCAUGAUCAGUGAGAGUCCAACUGGAGGCUUAAACGCUCUCCUGAAUGUGUAGGACCAUAAAAUGUUGCACAGCGCCGCACCGAACAGUACUGCUCAGUGGAAACGAGAUAUGGAUGACAUUCUGCUGGCAAACUUUGUUUAUUGGAGACGCAUAGCCACAUUUUCCCCUUGUAUAUUUAUAGCAUAAAGCACAAAUCUGGGUUGGGAUGCAGUUGUAUCCAUCCAAUGAAAUAAUGUGUCAUUUAGCAAACAUCUUACAUGUCUAAUAAUGCAUCACAAUAAGCUAAUUGCUGAUCUGAUUGUGGCACUUUCUGCAUUGCAAAGAAAUAAACCAAUGUGUUUUCAGGUGCAGUUUUGCUGAUAUCUAAUGACUCCGCACAAUGAGUGCGUAAGGCACUUUGCUGACUUUGAAGUGUAGAAACAUUAUCCAUAUGCUUUUCUCGUGGAGAAAGCACAUGCACACAUCCAGAUGGAGAUUAUAGAACUACAGUAUAACAUCACGGAAUGUCUCCUUCUGAUUCUCACACUUUCCUUCUUCAUCCUGGAGCCCAGGCCCAAACUUCACCUAUUAGCUGCGCAAACAUCAAAAACCACGUUAACCAUGCUCGCAACACGCAACAUACCACGCAACAGGCCUUCGUUCAACUGUUCAGUUUUUCUGAGAAAGACUGCUCUGAAUAUAGUAGAAAAAAUUACUUUAAAUUAUCAAUCUUCAAAGUAGGUAUGACUUAAAGCACAGUUGGCAUGAAGCAUUCAGAGGCAAACGGCUUUUUCAUUGCAUACCUAAAAAAUCUGCAGAGGAGCAAAAUGGAACAAACACCUUUGAUUCCUCUUGCAUCUACAAAUUGUUGAACCAGUCACACCCUUUUUCCUUUAGCGUUGCAUAGUGGCUGUUGAGCACUUUGCUCUUUGCUCCAGUCUUGUCUGACUUGUGCUGCACUUUGUCUCCAGUUAAGGAAAACGAAACUUGAAAAUGUUUUUGUAUUGUGUCCAAUAGUGCUUUUCCAGUCAGUUUAUUUAUAUAGCGUCAAUUCACAACAAGUGUUGUCUCAAGACACUUUACACAGAUCAUUCCAAUUCAAUCAUACAUACAUUCCAAUUGAUUCUAGUAAUCAAACAGU